Long non-coding RNA from Ornithorhynchus anatinus (platypus), 375 nucleotides. RefSeq lists it as uncharacterized. Lineage: Eukaryota; Metazoa; Chordata; Mammalia; Monotremata; Ornithorhynchidae. The record is from RefSeq and is a predicted model, not a curated record. The transcript has 3 exons.
CGCUUCUAAAUUUUACUCAAGAAGUGCUCCACCAGUUGCAGAAAAAGAAGUUACUGAGAGCCGAUCUCCAGCCAAGUCCUUCUCUAUUCCUCUCCCUUAAAGCCCAUCAGCUCUGUUCCCGCAGGCGUUUCUUCGAGACCCGCGCAGGAGAGGGGCCAAGCACAUCCAAGGUGAUGGAAACUGCCAUUUAAAAAAAUGGAUGGAAUUUUAAAAAUGAUUGUGAUGUCAAAGAUGAACUAUAUCCCUGACUUUUGGGGAUCUGCGAUGCGUCCCAAUUAUUUUUCGACUGCGUUCGAAGCCACCAAUGAACGCCCGCAUCUUGGCUCCAACAUCUUUAGGUUUGACCUUCUACAUCUCUUGUUUAUUUAUGGAUUA